ACUGCUUAUUGUUAAGCCUCGUAUUUCAUGUUUUUGCACCUCGUUAGGAAUAUAUCGAUGUGACUCAGCAUUCCACGGUGUCACAAGCGCUCCAAGCCUCCACCACAAAACUCUUACUAAUUAACCAUGACAGGAAUUAUAAAAACGUCAAAAAAACCCACUUGUCUAAUGUUAUCAGCUGAGGUGGAGGCAGCCUUCCCCAUUUCUCCGCCAAUAUCUGCUUCAUUUCUCACUUAUUGUUAAGCCUAACACGUCACUAAGUGGAGCCACAUGACUAGGCUUUCAUAUCCGCUAGCUAGAUAUAUCCGCCAUUGCCUCAUUUAGUUACGAUGGAAGAAUAACAGGCAAAAUAGCGGCCGUUCUCUCCACUGUCAAGGGCCGCCAUGAUGCCUGGCUACCUCUGCCAACCUGCUUCAACCUGUGGGUUCCAAUAUUUUUUUGUUAUUUUUCUUAACUUCUUUAUUUUGCUGGUAUAGCAUGUUUUUAUGGUUUAUAAAAAUAAUUAUUUGCUUUAGAAGUGUUUUCGUUGCUUGUGUUGAGUUGUGUUCAAUUUUGUGUUGCUUGACGAAAAUGAGGGGGGUUUUUUUGGCAGUAUUUUGACAAACUUGUUUUUUUAUUUCACGCUCUAAUUACGUCUUUUGUAUUUCUAAAAAUUGCUUAUGAUUUUUAAAGUGUUUUUUCGUUCCUGUUGAGAGAAAUAAGUGGACUUUAAAAAUGGUUUAUGGUCCUGUUAAAAGUUGUGAUUACAACACUUUUUGUGUUAUUGUCUCUCUAUUUCAGCUUGUAACUAACUUUUCAUUGCUUGAAAAAAUAGUUUGUAUGUUUUAAAGUGUUUUAUCUUGUUGUUGAGUCAAAAUGGGUGGACUUUGCAGUGGUUUUUAAUCGUAUUUAGGUUCCAACACGUAUUUUUUACACAAUUUCGGUUUUAUUUGUUUAUUCUUGUUCCAGGUAACUUUUGAUGGUGUAAGAUGAUAGUUCAGAUUUUUUAAAAUUUUUUACGUUCCUAAAAAUUCAAAUGUUGUGGACUUUUCAAUGAUUUAAAUUGUGCCGAAUAUUUCAACCUUUUUUCCAUAUUUCAUUUGGAUAUUUUUUAAAUACUACUCAGGCUGGAGCUGUUAUAAUAUUGUGAAUAUUUUUUUAAGUAUUUGUCAAGUCAGAAUAUAUAAGGCAUUCCAGCCUAGCUCCAUUUUUUCGAGGGGUCAAUUUCAAAAUGAAUUCCGUUACGGUACGUAAAUUAGCCGUGACGUCACGGCCGCCAUCAUGGACCCGGGACCUUGAUCGGCUCCGCUGUCUCCUCGGACCAGACUAUCCCAGGAUGAUGAAAAUGGAAGUUCUCAGUCUUAUAGGUCCUCUCAAGAAUCACAAUCAACUGCAAGUGGGAAGAGGAAGAGAAGAGGAGGAGGAGGAGGAGGAGGGAAGAGGAAGAGGAAUGAUAAUUCUUCCUAUCAAAUUACUGAUGUUAUUGAUGAAGAUACAGUCAAGAGGCACGCAGAAGGGGUGAAGAAGCCGCAAGAGGAGAUGACAAGAGUGGCGCAACCUAAGCUUUUCCGAAAUGGAGUCUUGAGAAGUUACCAGCUAGAUGGGUUUUCUUGGUUACUGACACUUUACAAGAACGGGAUCAACGGCAUUCUGGGAGAUGAGAUGGGCCUGGGCAAGACUGUCCAGUUUAUCGCCUUGGUGUGUCAUUUGGUGGAGCAGGGAGUGGCCGGGCCCUUCCUGGUGUGUGCCCCGCUCUCCACGCUGCCAAACUGGAUGGCUGAAUUCCCACUCUGCUGUACCACGGGUCAGAGAGUGAGAGAGUGGAGAAGAGGGAGGUGAUCCGAAAGGCUGUGGAAAUAGAAGGGUGUCCUGUCCAAGUCCUGCCUGUUGUUAUUACUUCCUACGAGCUGCAGGCACAAGACAACAGCGGCUCAACAAGGUGAAGACAAACACGAGCACACAACUAACUACUAUUGUCGUGCAUCAACAGCUUAAGACACAUGAGAUGAGGUUACAAUACCCACUGUGCAAUCAGUGAUAAAGUUACAAAAGUAGCUUAGGCUCCAGUUACAAGUUAAGAAUGAAAGGACUGUAGUCCCCUCACUCCACCCCUUUUCAGUCACCCUUUACAAUGAGCAAGAAAUAAGAUGGCAAUAUUUUCCUAUCCUGGCCACAGAGGGUGUGACAAGGCUGCAUCCCUACUACACCAGUUUUUAACCUACUAGAAUGUCAUUUCAACUUGGCUACAAUUGUGCCAUUUCACCUGUAUCACCCUGUACUACUGACAUGUUCUGUUCUACACAUGAGAACUUGCAGUGCUGGAGGAACUUAGUUGGUCACAUUACACGAGAUUAGACUGAUAUCAGUCAAAGUUGUGUCUAUGAAUCUCUAUCACCACUAAAAAAAAAAAA
Scylla paramamosain (green mud crab) is the source of this 2390-nucleotide RNA transcript. It is a transcript of the gene named lymphoid-specific helicase-like, with no coding region annotated. The transcript is spliced from 8 exons. NCBI's taxonomy places the organism in Eukaryota, Metazoa, Arthropoda, Malacostraca, Decapoda, Portunidae. The record is from RefSeq and is a predicted model, not a curated record.